CGCAUCUGUGCAUGCAGCAUAUCAAUAAGCGGAGGAAAAGAAACUAACAAGGAUUCCCCUAGUAACGGCGAGUGAAGCGGGAAGAGCUCAAAUUUGAAAUCUUAAAGGGUUUCCCUUUACGAAUUGUAGUUUAAAGAAGUGUUUUCUGUUGAGGUUUUGGUAAAAGUUCUUUGGAAUAGGACAUCAUAGAGGGUGAGAAUCCCGUAUUUGACCUUUACUUUCAACUUUGUGAUACACUUUCAAAGAGUCGGAUUGUUUGGGAAUGCAGUCCAAAAUGGGUGGUAAAUUUCAUCUAAAGCUAAAUAUUGGCGAGAGACCGAUAGCGAACAAGUACCGUGAGGGAAGAUGAAAAGAACUUUGAAAAGAGAGUUAAACAGUACGUGAAAUUGUCAAAAGGGAAGCGUUUGACACCAGUGUUGUUUUUCUAGAAAAUCAAUUAAAGAACUGUUUAUGCUAAGCUGUUUAGACUUUAUCAGCUAAUCUGUUUAGUUUUGAGCUUUUCUUUAAUGCACUUUUCAGUUAACAAGUCAACAUCAAUUUCUUUUGCUGUAAAAAAGCUUGAGGAAGGUGGCUUGAGAUUCGUCUUAAGUGUUUAUAGCCUCUUGCCUAUGCAGUCGGAGAGAUUGAGGUCUGCAGCGUAGAUCCUUCGGGGCUAAAUGCAUUUCGUGCUAAGUUAUAGCAUUUUAUAGACAACUUGUUGACUAUGAUUUGUCUUGUAGCUUACUCGCUUAUGUUAUUUUACCUACGCUUAGGAUGUUGAGUCGUAGAGCACGCAG
RNAcentral lists this ribosomal RNA (776 nucleotides) under uncultured Neocallimastigales. Its description in RNAcentral is "partial large subunit ribosomal RNA". It matches the Rfam family "Eukaryotic large subunit ribosomal RNA", at positions 26 to 628 of the family's 3401-position model. The record is from RNAcentral. Lineage: Eukaryota; Fungi; Neocallimastigomycota; Neocallimastigomycetes; Neocallimastigales.